UACGGAGGGUGCAAGCGUUAUCCGGAUUCACUGGGUUUAAAGGGUGCGUAGGUGGGCAGGUAAGUCCGUGGUGAAAUCCCCGAGCUUAACUCGGGAACUGCCAUGGAUACUAUUUGUCUUGAAUACUUUGGAGGUAAGCGGAAUAUGUCAUGUAGCGGUGAAAUGCUUAGAUAUGACAUAGAACACCAAUUGCGCAGGCAGCUUACUACACAGUAAUUGACACUGAGGCACGAAAGCGUGGGGAUCAGACAGG
This 253-nucleotide ribosomal RNA is filed under the name uncultured bacterium. RNAcentral's name for it is "partial 16S ribosomal RNA". It matches the Rfam family "Bacterial small subunit ribosomal RNA", at positions 524 to 776 of the family's 1533-position model. The record is from RNAcentral.